Molecule: ribosomal RNA, 253 nt
Filed under: uncultured bacterium
Lineage: Bacteria
Description: partial 16S ribosomal RNA
Rfam family: Bacterial small subunit ribosomal RNA
Source: RNAcentral
UACGGGGGGGGCAAGCGUUGUUCGGAAUUACUGGGCGUAAAGGGCUCGUAGGCGGCCAACUAAGUCAGACGUGAAAUCCCCAGGCUCAACCUGGGAACUGCGUCUGAUACUGGAUGGCUUGAAUCCGGGAGAGGGAUGCAGAAUUCCAGGUGUAGCGGUGAAAUGCGUAGAUAUCUGGAGGAACACCGGUGGCGAAGGCGGCUUCCUGGACCGACACUGACGCUGAGGCGCGAAAGCUAGGGGAGCAAACGGG